UACCGUAUUUAGCGUUACGGUUCCUUGGGUAUGCAAUAUCUAGGGUGAAGAGGGAAGACGGUGCGCCCUUGAAGGGCAAUGCCGGCGCUGCCCCCGCAACUGUGAGCGGCGAGCCCGCGUCCAAGACUGCCACUGGUGCGCCGGUCCUUCGGAACCGGCCCCGGGAAGGCCGGACGGGGGCUGUGACCCGCAAGCCAGGAGACCUGCCGUAAUGGCCGCAACGUC
This 225-nucleotide non-coding RNA is filed under the name Rhodospirillum rubrum. Lineage: Bacteria; Pseudomonadati; Pseudomonadota; Alphaproteobacteria; Rhodospirillales; Rhodospirillaceae. The record is from RNAcentral. RNAcentral also lists the same sequence under 1 other name.